Molecule: signal recognition particle RNA, 220 nt
Filed under: Deltaproteobacteria bacterium
Lineage: Bacteria; Pseudomonadati; Myxococcota; Myxococcia
Description: signal recognition particle sRNA large type
Rfam family: Bacterial large signal recognition particle RNA
About the family: The signal recognition particle (SRP) is a universally conserved ribonucleoprotein involved in the co-translational targeting of proteins to membranes. Archaeal SRP consists of a 7S RNA and homologues of the eukaryotic SRP19 and SRP54 proteins.
Source: RNAcentral
UUGUGCUAGGCUCCGAUUCAUGCGGGGCUGAAUUCCCGCUGAAGGAUAACCUCCUGAAACCGCGGCCUUCUGGCUGACCGGCCGCCAUGCAACAGACACUCGUGAACCUCGUCAGGUCCGGAAGGAAGCAGCGAUAAAUGAUGGCGUCUGUGUCAUGGAACGAUCCCGGUUUUGCUUUUGGGUCCAGGUUUUAAGGAAUUGUUCAAAGGCGGGUGCACAA